This 146-nucleotide unclassified non-coding RNA is filed under the name soil metagenome. RNAcentral's name for it is "partial internal transcribed spacer 1". The record is from RNAcentral.
CCGAGUUUACAACUCCCAAACCCCUGUGAACAUACCUAUAUGUGCCUCGGCGGAUCAGCCCGCGCCCCGUAAAACGGGACGGCCCGCCGCAGGAUCCACAAACUCUGUUUUUAUUGUAACUUCUGAGUAACAAAACAAAUAAAUCA